CCUACGGGUGGCAGCAGUGGGGAAUAUUGCACAAUGGGCGCAAGCCUGAUGCAGCCAUGCCGCGUGUAUGAAGAAGGCCUUCGGGUUGUAAAGUACUUUCAGCGGGGAGGAAGGUGUUGUGGUUAAUAACCGCAGCAAUUGACGUUACCCGCAGAAGAAGCACCGGCUAACUCCGUGCCAGCAGCCGCGGUAAUACGGAGGGUGCAAGCGUUAAUCGGAAUUACUGGGCAAAAAGCGCACGCAGGCGGUCUGUCAAGUCGGAUGUGAAAUCCCCGGGCUCAACCUGGGAACUGCAUUCGAAACUGGCAGGCUAGAGUCUUGUAGAGGGGGGUAGAAUUCCAGGUGUAGCGGUGAAAUGCGUAGAGAUCUGGAGGAAUACCGGUGGCGAAGGCGGCCCCUUGGACAAAGACUGACGCUCAGGUGCGAAAGCGUGGGGAGCAAACAGGAUUAGAUACCCGUGUAG
Molecule: ribosomal RNA, 463 nt
Filed under: uncultured bacterium
Lineage: Bacteria
Description: bacterial SSU rRNA
Rfam family: Bacterial small subunit ribosomal RNA
Source: RNAcentral